This 179-nucleotide non-coding RNA is filed under the name Bacillota bacterium. Its description in RNAcentral is "Firmicutes bacterium (anaerobic digester metagenome) 6S RNA". It matches the Rfam family "6S / SsrS RNA". Rfam says of the family: E. coli 6S RNA was the first non coding RNA to be sequenced, but its function was unknown until recently. It consists of 184 nucleotides that fold into an extended hairpin structure with a large single-stranded internal bulge. The 6S RNA specifically associates with RNA polymerase holoenzyme containing the sigma70 specificity factor. The record is from RNAcentral. Lineage: Bacteria; Bacillati; Bacillota.
AAGGCCCUGCCGUGUUCGUGACCAACCGUUAAGUUUUGAGCUAACACAUAUUAAUUGGGAGACUGACUUUAAUUGUGGCGUAGAAGCCUCCUUUGAGAGGACCUAUAAAGCAAUUAAGAGGGCACCCACCUGUAGGGAGAAUAGUUCAAAACUGCGGCUCACGGCAUGGCGGGGUUUCG